Molecule: long non-coding RNA, 5496 nt
Filed under: Androctonus crassicauda
Lineage: Eukaryota; Metazoa; Arthropoda; Arachnida; Scorpiones; Buthidae
Source: RNAcentral
CUUCAUUUCUGCACUUGACAUGUUUCACCACUUUUGCUUCCUUCCAUCUAAUAUCUAUGUUGUAUUCUAAUGCUCUAACAUUGAGUGCAGUACUAGUUUCAUAUUUUUCUAUAUUUUUCUUGUGUUCUUUCACUCUGUCUUCUAACUUGCAGAUUGUGUAUCUGAUAUAUUUUCAUUUUCUCUGUUGAGAACUAGAUUGGAAAUUGGAAUUAAACUCCUAUUUUUUUCUUCACCAUAUGUGUCUUUAUCACUUAUUUCAUUUUCUUUCCUAAAUAUAAAAAAGAUUGAUAUUUUUUUUGUGGGUUAUCUUAAAACCUGUAGUGUUUUUAUAUCUCUAUAUACAACAGUCAACAGUAUAAGUUAUCUUGUAACAGUUUGUAUUGGAUCUGAUGAUGGCUCCAAAGGAGAGUUGAAAACAUUUAAUCAAGUGAUUUCGGCAGUCUUGUGCUGGUUUUUAAAUUUACUGUUUAACAAAAUUUCCUUACAUUUAUCAAGCUGUAAAAUUUAUAACAAAGUUAUUAAACAUGGUUUGCUUUAGAACCAAAAUAAUAGUUUGAUAAUAUAAUUUCAUGGCAAUUAAUCACAAUUUAUUUUCGUAAAUUUAAAAAAACACUACAUAGCAGAUGUGUUUUCUUUUAUACGAAUUUAUCUCAGAAGUAUGAGCACUAAUAUAGAACAGUGUAAAUUAUUUAUAUAAGAAAAACUUGUUCACUAAUCAAAGUAUCAGAUAUUAUAUAUUGUAACAUUAUUUUUGGUAUUUUGGCAAAUAAUUUAUAUAUAAUCUUUUUUUUUUUUUAUCUAUUAUCAAAAUGAAUAAAUAUCACUGUGACUUCAAUAACUUUCCUAUAUAUCAUUCUUCAUAGUACAAACAAUGCACUAUUAAAUUUUAUUGUACGAGAUAUGUGUUUAGAGAUUUUAGAUUGUCAAAUCUAAAGGAUAUAAGGCAGAAGACCAAUUAGGAGUGCAUUAUGACUUAGUCAGCUAAUGACAAAGUUGCAAAAUAUUGAAAGAUAGAUGUUAUUAGAAAAAUAUCCUAGAAAUUUGACAACGUACAUUUCAAAUGGAAUACUAUCAUCUUUCACUCAGACAUCUGCUCAAGAUUGUCAAUUUGGAUGUGUUCUUUAUUAUACAAUUGAAUUUAUCCUCAUGAAGUCAGUGGCAAAAUCAAAAUUACUAUUAUUAAAAUUAAUAAAUUAUUCUUGUACUUAUAACAUAAGUUAUGAAUUGUUAGCACACAGACAUUUUCAGUCAAGUAUUUGUUGCAUGUAGUCUUAAAUAUGCAUAAUCAUGAUAUAGUAAACUCUGUUAAUUCAGUCCUCAGUAAUCUAGUCUUCUUGUUAGAUGAAUGUAAAAAUGAUUCCACUGAGAUUAUGUUGAAGGUGUGUUAACAACAUGCAUGAUGAUGUUUUCCAAACAGCAGAAAUACGGGACAUUAUGGAGAGCAUUACCCAUAUUGAAACAAUGGGAAAAAGUGUAUGUUCAAUUGACACCGAGUUAGCAUCAGCAUUGAGUGGUGAUGAUGAGCUAGUCAAUUCAGAAUCAUUAAUUCCAGAAGUAUUUGUUACGUUCCAUAAGCUUUCAGAACGCAAAGCCGACGAUGAGGACAUUACUAAGUGAUUAUAAUGAAAAAAUUAUGGAAUUAGUUUUAAGUUUUAACAGAUGAAGAAAUCAUUGAAAAUUUGCAGGAAGAAAAAGAUGUAAGUGAUGUGGAAGAGGACACUACAGAAGCAAAAACAUCAAGACUUCUCACAGUGCCAAAGCUGCUGACAUCUUCCUGCAGUAUAUAAUGCAACAACUAGAUGGACAAUACUGACAUAAUGCUAAUAAAGUGAUUAUGUGACAAAAUUUGCUAUUAAUGAUCAUCUUCAUUAAUCAAAAGACGAAAAAUCUAUGACAUAUUUUGAAAUGACCACAGUAAGUAUAAAAUGAAAGAUUACAGUUGUGCAUUUAUUUUAUCAUGCAUAGUAUAUAUUGUACUUUACCGAUAUGAAAAGAUUAUUUCAUUAUUGUAAAUGAGGCAAUAUAGAGCAUAUGCUUAUCAUGUUACAUACAUACUGAUCAUGACAUCAUAUGUUUAUCUCUUACUUAUGUUUUUUAAAUAUAUACUACAUACAGUAUGUAGCAUAAAUUAAACAAAGAAUUAAACUAAAUUUUUAUGCAUUCUUAGUAAUCAACACACUUGCUAAUUUGGCAUCCCUUUGCAUAAGGAAUGGCUGGGUUAGCAAGUCUAAUGUAGCUUAUAUUGUUGUUAUAAGACUAUCAAACUUUUAUUAUGUUUUGUGUACGUGUAUGACAGAUUUAUAAAUCCAGCAAGAGAUAUAACUGGAAUUACUAAAAAUUCUAUAUGAAAUAUUAUGGUAUUAGAAGUAUAAAAAAAACAAAAUUUUCCAGAUGUAUUUUUUUAAUGCAUUAUUAAGUUUUAAAUAUAUAUAUUGUGUAUAAAUAUUUUACAUAGAUUAAGAGUAAGUUCUAAUGAUAUUCUGAAAUAAUUAUAUAUUUAAAUUGCAAUUAUUUCAUUAGACCAAAAAUUCAUAUCAUUCAUAAAACAAUAUAUUUAUUUUAGAAAAUGAAAAGCUACACUGUUUCAUUUUCUAGAAUAAAUAUUUUGUUAGAGAGUUAGAGCCAUCAACGUAAACAAAGUGUGAUCUGAUGAUUCAGUUGCAUUAAAUAUUCAAAUGAAAUGGAGAUUAUUUAUAAGAAUGGUGAAUGAAUCUUUAAUAUAACACGACUGCCAAUUUGCACUUUUUACUUACCACGAUGAAUCUUCAACUCUUUAAUGAAAAUUAAUGAGUGUCAUGAUUUAAAUUACUAUUAUUUCAAAACUUAUUAUUUUUCAAUGUGAUAUCAUUGAAUCAAAAAUAUCAAACUAAAGAUCAUAACUUUUACAUACUAUCUUUGGUGGUAUUAAAAAUAAUCUUAUGCUGUUGCAAUUACUUAAAUAAAUAAAUAAAGUUUUAACUUGUCUGAACUUAUCACUUUUACUUUGAUUUAAACUGAUAAAUAGUUAAGAUAUUAAGUAUACAAAUAGUCCUUGACUUACAUAUUAUCAACUUAUGAUCAGUUGUAUAGUCAAUAAACUUUUUAGUAGGAUAACGUAAUUCACGUGUAUGAGUCCAUGCACAAUGGUGUGAUAUAUCAGUAGCAUCCAUUCUGUAUCUAGUCUUAGUUUUGUGUUCAUUAAAUUUACUAGGUUGCUGCAUUAUACUGUAAUGAACAACAGUUAUAGGCAAUCAAUAGAUAUAAAUUAUUUUCAACUUAAGACAAUAUAAAUGUAUUGGUAGGUAAUUCCAAUCAAAUCAAAUCCCAUAAGGUAAGUUGAAGACUCUCUCUAUUUUAAAAUUAAAAAUGCAUUAAGAAAAUCAUCUAAUAUGAGGAAGAAUGCAAGCCGAAUUGAAUAGUAAUACAGUGGACUUGCACUUUUAUGAACCUCCAAUUUAUGAACUACACUUUUUACAAACUAUUUAGUUGAUACCAAAAAGUCCCUAAUGUUAGUUAAUGCCAUUCCCUUUUACAAACAUUUUUGAGGUCCGUAUAAGUUCAUAAAAUCGAAAAUCCACUGUAUAUACUAUUAAGCAACUUUUAGAAUUUUCAAAAUGAUGAUAAUUUUGAAAUUUAUAUUAAAAAUUUUAUUAUAAAAUUAUUUAUUUAUCAAUUAGAAAUUAUUUCACUAUAUUUGCCAUUUUUACAUUUGCAUAUAUGUUAUGCAAAAAUAAAAAUGUAAUACACUCUUCCUUAAUGUAAUAACAUACACUCUUCCUUAAUGUAGCAGAAUGUCAAUUAUCCAAACCAUUACCAACAAAACGCAUUACAGUAUUCGUUUAAUGCACCGAUUUCUGUGUUAAAGUAUUAUUCUUGCUACUUAAUGCAUUUAUUUCCAAUUAUUUAUUUGAAGAUAUAUACAAUAUAGCAUAGAAAUAGUCUUGGUUUGUAAAUAAUAACCAAAAUUAGCCAUCAUCUGAUUUUUAAUUCAUAAUGACAAAUUAUUCCCUAAAUUAUUUUUUUAUAAUACUUCAUAUUUUAAAAUAUAACAUUAAUAACCUUAUGUAAAUAAUUUAAAUGUAGGCAUUUUUUUCUAUAAACAAUUGAAUAUUCUCGUAUUUAUUUGAUUAUUCAGACUAUUUGAUUUAACUGAACAACAUUGGUUCCCAAUUAGUUCGGAUAAUCGAUACACUACAUUUCAUAAAAUGUAAUAUACAUAUCACGAUCUUUUGUACACUCAGGAACAAUAAAGGUAGCUACUAGUGCUACAGAUUUGUUAAUAUAAAAAAUUUUUAUCAAAUUCAUUUUUUAUCAAUUUAUUCUAAUACUAGACGAUGUGAAGAAAUUUUUGAACAUUUGGUGAUAUGCAAAAAAAAUUUAAAUAACUGCUGCUCUUUUUGAAACAUCAUUAUAAAUAUUAUAUAUUGUUACAUAUAGUUUGUAUGAAUAAAAUGCAUAAUCAAAAAAUUAAAAUCAAAAUGGAUAAUAUCCAAACUUCUCAGAUUUUUAAUCCUCUACUGCAGUGUUUCCCAGUCAAUAAAUUAUAAAAUUACAUACAUGCAGUUGCAGAUUGCUUUCCCUGAUAAAUCAUAAAAAUUUCAGAUUAAAAAUGAAAACUAAACACUUGUAACUAAUUUAAUUAUAAAUAAUUCUCAUGGCAAAAAUUAAGAAAAAUAAAAUCACAAAAAUAUAUAACAACAAUAUAUUUGUUAGUCAUAUUAAACAUGAAUCAUAAAGCAUAUAUAUAAGCAAUUCAAAUUUUUAUAAGUUUGUAUUUUUCAAACUGUUCCAUUGAUUAUAAUGAUGAUCAUUAUACAUGUAUAUGAUUAGAGUGUAUAAGAAAUAUUUAUUAAUUGUGGUGCAUUAAAUUAACUUUUUAUAUACAUAAUACUGUAUAUAAAAGAAAUGUUUUUCAUUUCUGAAAAAACACUUAGAAUCAAGCAUGUAAAAUAAUGUUUAUGAAGAUGAUUGCAGCAAUAUGGCCUUCCAAUACAUUAUGAAGUGGUGAUUGAUUAAAAAAAAGGUUGGGAAACACUGCUUUACUGUAUAAUGUAUAAAUUAUGUGUUAUAUAUUUUACACUAUUCAAUCUCAUUUCAGAUGAUUCACUUAAUUUUUUUGUUGUUAUUUUAUAAAUAAAACAGAAAAAUUGACUGUAGAAAGAAUUUUAUAUUCAGUUGGCUGGUCGUUGAAAGUAUAAAAAAUGCAAAUAAAAGAGAUUUUCAACUGAAAACAAUUUAGGAAACAAUGGUUUCACCUUUCUGUAUAGUAAUAGAUGUGUAUAUUAAUAGGUUGAAUGGGUUAUACACAAGAUAAAUAACAGAUGUUUUAUUGCUUAUAAUCUAGUGUUAUACAUUAACUCCUUGUCACAUCUUGUUUAAUAUUAAGUAAUGAAAUUAUAAGCUCAUCAGUUGCUUAUAAUCUAGAAACUGAUUUCUAUUAGUACACAUUUAUUUAUUAUAACUACAUUAGAUUUGAAAAUAAAUCAUUUGUAUUUUUUAAUAUUGGAUAUAGACAAC